RNAcentral lists this ribosomal RNA (2906 nucleotides) under Escherichia coli. RNAcentral's name for it is "23S ribosomal RNA". It matches the Rfam family "Bacterial large subunit ribosomal RNA". The record is from RNAcentral. Lineage: Bacteria; Pseudomonadati; Pseudomonadota; Gammaproteobacteria; Enterobacterales; Enterobacteriaceae.
GGUUAAGCGACUAAGCGUACACGGUGGAUGCCCUGGCAGUCAGAGGCGAUGAAGGACGUGCUAAUCUGCGAUAAGCGUCGGUGAGGUGAUAUGAACCGUUAUAACCGGCGAUUUCCGAAUGGGGAAACCCAGUGUGUUUCGACACACUAUCAUUAACUGAAUCCAUAGGUUAAUGAGGCGAACCGGGGGAACUGAAACAUCUAAGUACCCCGAGGAAAAGAAAUCAACCGAGAUUCCCCCAGUAGCGGCGAGCGAACGGGGAGGAGCCCAGAGCCUGAAUCAGUGUGUGUGUUAGUGGAAGCGUCUGGAAAGGCGCGCGAUACAGGGUGACAGCCCCGUACACAAAAAUGCACAUAUUGUGAGCUCGAUGAGUAGGGCGGGACACGUGGUAUCCUGUCUGAAUAUGGGGGGGACCAUCCUCCAAGGCUAAAUACUCCUGACUGACCGAUAGUGAACCAGUACCGUGAGGGAAAGGCGAAAAGAACCCCGGCGAGGGGAGUGAAAAAGAACCUGAAACCGUGUACGUACAAGCAGUGGGAGCCUCUUAAUGGGGUGACUGCGUACCUUUUGUAUAAUGGGUCAGCGACUUAUAUUCUGUAGCAAGGUUAACCGAAUAGGGGAGCCGAAGGGAAACCGAGUCUUAACUGGGCGUUAAGUUGCAGGGUAUAGACCCGAAACCCGGUGAUCUAGCCAUGGGCAGGUUGAAGGUUGGGUAACACUAACUGGAGGACCGAACCGACUAAUGUUGAAAAAUUAGCGGAUGACUUGUGGCUGGGGGUGAAAGGCCAAUCAAACCGGGAGAUAGCUGGUUCUCCCCGAAAGCUAUUUAGGUAGCGCCUCGUGAAUUCAUCUCCGGGGGUAGAGCACUGUUUCGGCAAGGGGGUCAUCCCGACUUACCAACCCGAUGCAAACUGCGAAUACCGGAGAAUGUUAUCACGGGAGACACACGGCGGGUGCUAACGUCCGUCGUGAAGAGGGAAACAACCCAGACCGCCAGCUAAGGUCCCAAAGUCAUGGUUAAGUGGGAAACGAUGUGGGAAGGCCCAGACAGCCAGGAUGUUGGCUUAGAAGCAGCCAUCAUUUAAAGAAAGCGUAAUAGCUCACUGGUCGAGUCGGCCUGCGCGGAAGAUGUAACGGGGCUAAACCAUGCACCGAAGCUGCGGCAGCGACACUAUGUGUUGUUGGGUAGGGGAGCGUUCUGUAAGCCUGUGAAGGUGUACUGUGAGGUAUGCUGGAGGUAUCAGAAGUGCGAAUGCUGACAUAAGUAACGAUAAAGCGGGUGAAAAGCCCGCUCGCCGGAAGACCAAGGGUUCCUGUCCAACGUUAAUCGGGGCAGGGUGAGUCGACCCCUAAGGCGAGGCCGAAAGGCGUAGUCGAUGGGAAACAGGUUAAUAUUCCUGUACUUGGUGUUACUGCGAAGGGGGGACGGAGAAGGCUAUGUUGGCCGGGCGACGGUUGUCCCGGUUUAAGCGUGUAGGCUGGUUUUCCAGGCAAAUCCGGAAAAUCAAGGCUGAGGCGUGAUGACGAGGCACUACGGUGCUGAAGCGACAAAUGCCCUGCUUCCAGGAAAAGCCUCUAAGCAUCAGGUAACAUCAAAUCGUACCCCAAACCGACACAGGUGGUCAGGUAGAGAAUACCAAGGCGCUUGAGAGAACUCGGGUGAAGGAACUAGGCAAAAUGGUGCCGUAACUUCGGGAGAAGGCACGCUGAUAUGUAGGUGAAGCGACUUGCUCGUGGAGCUGAAAUCAGUCGAAGAUACCAGCUGGCUGCAACUGUUUAUUAAAAACACAGCACUGUGCAAACACGAAAGUGGACGUAUACGGUGUGACGCCUGCCCGGUGCCGGAAGGUUAAUUGAUGGGGUUAGCGGUAACGCGAAGCUCUUGAUCGAAGCCCCGGUAAACGGCGGCCGUAACUAUAACGGUCCUAAGGUAGCGAAAUUCCUUGUCGGGUAAGUUCCGACCUGCACGAAUGGCGUAAUGAUGGCCAGGCUGUCUCCACCCGAGACUCAGUGAAAUUGAACUCGCUGUGAAGAUGCAGUGUACCCGCGGCAAGACGGAAAGACCCCGUGAACCUUUACUAUAGCUUGACACUGAACAUUGAGCCUUGAUGUGUAGGAUAGGUGGGAGGCUUUGAAGUGUGGACGCCAGUCUGCAUGGAGCCGACCUUGAAAUACCACCCUUUAAUGUUUGAUGUUCUAACGUGGGCCCCUUACCGGGGUUGCGGACAGUGUCUGGUGGGUAGUUUGACUGGGGCGGUCUCCUCCUAAAGAGUAACGGAGGAGCACGAAGGUUGGCUAAUCCUGGUCGGACAUCAGGAGGUUAGUGCAAUGGCAUAAGCCAGCUUGACUGCGAGCGUGACGGCGCGAGCAGGUGCGAAAGCAGGUCAUAGUGAUCCGGUGGUUCUGAAUGGAAGGGCCAUCGCUCAACGGAUAAAAGGUACUCCGGGGAUAACAGGCUGAUACCGCCCAAGAGUUCAUAUCGACGGCGGUGUUUGGCACCUCGAUGUCGGCUCAUCACAUCCUGGGGCUGAAGUAGGUCCCAAGGGUAUGGCUGUUCGCCAUUUAAAGUGGUACGCGAGCUGGGUUUAGAACGUCGUGAGACAGUUCGGUCCCUAUCUGCCGUGGGCGCUGGAGAACUGAGGGGGGGCUGCUCCUAGUACGAGAGGACCGGAGUGGACGCAUCACUGGUGUUCGGGUUGUCAUGCCAAUGGCACUGCCCGGUAGCUAAAUGCGGAAGAGAUAAGUGCUGAAAGCAUCUAAGCACGAAACUUGCCCCGAGAUGAGUUCUCCCUGACUCCUUGAGAGUCCUGAAGGAACGUUGAAGACGACGACGUUGAUAGGCCGGGUGUGUAAGCGCAGCGAUGCGUUGAGCUAACCGGUACUAAUGAACCGUGAGGCUUAACCUU